GUAGGUGGCAAGCGUUGUCCGGGAAUUAUUGGGGCGUAAAGCGCGCGCAGGCGGUUCUUUAAGUCUGAUGUGAAAGCCCACGGGCUCAACCGUGGAGGGUCAUUGGAAACUGGAGAACUUGAGUACAGAAGAGGAAAGCGGAAUUCCGCGUGUAGCGGUGAAAUGCGUAGAGAUGUGGAGGAACACCAGUGGCGAAGGCGGCUUUCUGGUCUGUAACUGACGCUGAGGCGCGAAAGCGUGGGGAGCAAACAGGAUUAGAUACCCUGGUAGUCCACGCCGUAAACGAUGAGUGCUAAGUGUUAGGGGGUUUCCGCCCCUUAGUGCUGCAGCUAACGCAUUAAGCACUCCGCCUGGGGAGUACGGCCGCAAAGGCUGA
RNAcentral lists this ribosomal RNA (376 nucleotides) under uncultured organism. RNAcentral describes it as "partial 16S ribosomal RNA". It matches the Rfam family "Bacterial small subunit ribosomal RNA", at positions 527 to 897 of the family's 1533-position model. The record is from RNAcentral.